Molecule: long non-coding RNA, 2290 nt
Organism: Gallus gallus (chicken)
Lineage: Eukaryota; Metazoa; Chordata; Aves; Galliformes; Phasianidae
Source: Ensembl
AUCUUCCACUAAGUUCAGUAAAUAAUUCAGAGAAAAUAAGUUCAAAGAAUAUCCUAAUUCUUCACUGAAUUCUUCUGACAGUCUGUUAACAAACAGCUGUGUUAUCCUGUAACUCACAUACUAUGGCACUUGCAAGAACCUUCUUGGUGUUCAUUCAGCUGUGAAACAAAACAGUUCAAGGAGCAGAGCUGCAUGAUAUCUAUCUGGGAGCAACAUAGAGGAUAAUUUCAGGAGAACUGAGUUAGACUGACUUGAUGUGCCCUGGCUAAUUUUAAUCUACUCUUGGAUCAUCUACUACAGACAGGCAGUCUGUCAAAAUGGUGUCUGACAUUAAAGAGAGAAUAAAGAGAAGAUGUGUCAUUGAAUUCCUUCACACACACACACACACAAAAUGGAACUAUUUGACAUUGACUCUGAAUGUUUUGGAGAUCAAGAUUUGGACAGGAGCAUCCUGAAGCAGUAGGAGCUAUGUUUCAGCAGUGGCAACAGUGGGUCACCUCCAGUGUUUCCAAGAAAAUACAUAGGAGGAAUUACUUUCAAGGUGACAUAUGCAGUUCAAGACAAUUCCUCUUCUCUCAGUGCAGUCCUGACAAGCCAAAAGGUUGGACGCCCAUGGACUACUGCCUCUCUUUUGUUAUGAAUGACACUGGAAAAGAAGGCUGUCAAGCAAGUACUGUCACAUGUGGAUUAUCAGUUUGAGAGGAAGACACUGAAAGGCAUAAGAUUUCAGAAUAAUCAUACAAUCAAAGAAUCAUUAAGACCACUGAAAAUGUCACUAAGAUCAUCUAGUCCGACCAUCAACCCAUGAUCACCAUGUUCCCUAAGCCGUGUCUCUAAGUGCCAUGUCUACAUGUUUCUUGAAAACCUCCAGGGAUGGUGACUCCAUUUCUUCCCUGGUCAGUUUGUUCCAAUACAUUAACACUCCAAGAAGAAAUUUUCCUAAUGUCCAACCUGAACCUCCCCUCGUGCAACUUAAAGCCGUUCUCUCUCAUCCUAUUGCUGUUACCUGGGAGAAGAAUCCAAUCUCCACCUUGCCACAAUUUCCUUUCAGGCUGCUGUAGUGAGCUACAAAGUCUCUCCUGAGCCUCCUCUACUCAAGACUUCACAAUCCCAGUUCCCUUAGCCACUCCUCAUAAGUCUUGUGCUCCAGAUCUAAUUAAAGGGAAUAUUCUCAUUAGACAGUACCUUAUUUAUAGAUAAUUAAUUGUAUAGGAAUAUAAAAUCAGAUAAUCUAUUUUCUUCCUUCAGAGAAAUUAUUUUUCUGGUUUAUUUUUAGAUAUUUUGACUGUCUAUAUUGUUGGGCUGAACUUGCCAAACUUCAUAGUAUCCAUAUACAUCCUAAGCCCACAGGUCUAGCCCAUCAGACCAAUUUAAAGGGGAUCAAAAAGUUGUCUACAUGCUCAGCACCAGAAUCCUGAGUGAAAUAUAUGUGCCAGGACUUUUUUGUUAAGAGGCUAUAAUGAUUUAUUUAUACAGUUUGCUACUUUUGGAGAAAUUCUACAUGUUGUUAAUAUGUAUAAAUUUACAUUUUUCAGUACUUAAGAGAUUUUAAUUUUUAUUAAAGCAUAUAAAAAUUGCAGAUGUAGCAGAUUUUCUAAGAUACAGCAAGUUAGCAACUUUUUCCUGGAUUCUUUUUGUACCAUACUUUCUUAUAUUAUUGUAGAUUAUAUGGCACAAAGCACUCAUCUGAGAAGCUUGAAAAAUAUUAAAGAUAUUACUUGAAGUUAGAGAAUUACCCCCCAAAUAUAUUAUUUUAUAGAAGUGAUAGAAUUCUGUACAUAUAUGUAUAAACAAAUAUAAAACUUACAUAAAUUUAAAAUAUAUUCCAUGUGUUUGUAUGCAUGUACAUAUAUAUAUGCAUAUAUAUAUAUAUGGGGUACACAUAUACUCCAUGGAAAAUUCAUAAAUACUUCCUCAUAUUCAUACAAAAAUGUAUGUAUCAUAUUUGAAUUAUUAGAGUGCAAGAUGCUGAAUAUUUUUUAGAGAGCAUAAAAUGUAUUUCUUGUGACUGAAAAAAUGUGACUGGAAAAAUGUGAUCUAAAAUGAGGAAUUAGCCAAAUAUUUCAGAUUCAGAAAGAGCAUAGCAACCUGUUGCUGCUAUCAGUAAAGCUGGAUAGCAUGGUCUUCCUGGAAUGGAUUCUGUACAUGGUUAAUCAAAUAGUCAUUAAUUCAAAUCCUCUGAAUUACUGUGAAAAGUGAAUUCAUGUACAUAUCUUUUCUCUCAAAAGGAAGUUGCCUACCUUGUAUCCUGUGAUAAAGAUUUAUUCUAUUAAAACCAUAAAAGGCUCAC